AGAGUUUGAUCAUGGCUCAGGAUGAACGCUGGCGGUAUGCUUAACACAUGCAAGUCGAACGGACGUUUUCGGACGUUAGUGGCGGACGGGUGAGUAACGCGUGAGAAUCUGCCUAUAGGUUCGGGACAACAGCUGGAAACGGCUGCUAAUACCGGAUGUGCCGAGAGGUAAAAGAUUUAUUGCCUAUAGAUGAGCUCGCGUCCGAUUAGCUAGUUGGUGAGGUAAGGGCUCACCAAGGCAUUGAUCGGUAGCUGGUCUGAGAGGAUGAUCAGCCACACUGGGACUGAGACACGGCCCAGACUCCUACGGGAGGCAGCAGUGGGGAAUUUUCCGCAAUGGGCGAAAGCCUGACGGAGCAAUACCGCGUGAGGGAGGAAGGCUCUUGGGUUGUAAACCUCUUUUCUCAGGGAAGAACACAAUGACGGUACCUGAGGAAUCAGCAUCGGCUAACUCCGUGCCAGCCGCCGCGGUAAUUC
This 476-nucleotide ribosomal RNA is filed under the name uncultured bacterium. RNAcentral's name for it is "bacterial SSU rRNA". It matches the Rfam family "Bacterial small subunit ribosomal RNA", at positions 8 to 526 of the family's 1533-position model. The record is from RNAcentral.